RNAcentral lists this ribosomal RNA (433 nucleotides) under uncultured bacterium. RNAcentral describes it as "partial 16S ribosomal RNA". It matches the Rfam family "Bacterial small subunit ribosomal RNA", at positions 28 to 507 of the family's 1533-position model. The record is from RNAcentral.
GACGAACGCUGGCGGCAUGCCUAACACAUGCAAGUCGAACGAGACCUUCGGGUCUAGUGGCGCACGGGUGCGUAACGCGUGGGAACCUGCCCUUAGGUUCGGAAUAACUCCCCGAAAGGUGUGCUAAUACCGCAUAAUGUCUUCGCACCAAAGAUGUAUCGCUUUUGGAUGGGCCCGUGUUGGUUUAGCUAGUUGGUAGGGUAAAAGCCGACCAAGGCGACGAUGCAUGGCUGGUCUGAGAGGAUGCUAAUCCACAAUGGGACUGAGACACGGCCCAGCAUGCUACGGAAGGGAGCAGUGGGGAAUAUUGGAGAAUGGGGGAAAGCCUGAUCCAGCAACGCCGGGGGUGAGAUGAAGGCCUUAGGGUUGUAAAGCUGUUUUACACGAGAUGAUAAUGACAGUACCGGGAGAAUAAGCACCGGCUAACUCCGUG